RNAcentral lists this transfer RNA (72 nucleotides) under Bos taurus (domestic cattle). It matches the Rfam family "tRNA". From Rfam's summary of the family: Transfer RNA (tRNA) molecules are approximately 80 nucleotides in length. Their secondary structure includes four short double-helical elements and three loops (D, anti-codon, and T loops). Lineage: Eukaryota; Metazoa; Chordata; Mammalia; Artiodactyla; Bovidae. The record is from Rfam by way of RNAcentral. RNAcentral also lists the same sequence under 4 other names.
UCCCUCAUAGCUCAGUUGGUAAAGAAUCUGCCUGCAAUGCAGGAGAUCUGGGUUCGAUUCCUGGGUCGGGAA